RNAcentral lists this ribosomal RNA (273 nucleotides) under Triticum aestivum (bread wheat). RNAcentral describes it as "partial small subunit ribosomal RNA". Lineage: Eukaryota; Viridiplantae; Streptophyta; Magnoliopsida; Poales; Poaceae. The record is from RNAcentral.
AUGAGCGAGAGCGAGCAGAGGCCGGUGCCGAGGCGGGAGAGCCCGUGGGGCUUGCCGGAGGGGGACAAGCGGCAGCCCAAGGCGCACCGCUGCAACGACCGCGUCGAGGAUGUCGUCCAGGCUGCCUUUGAAGGGAAUCCAUUCAAGACAGUUCCAGGCCCAUUCAAGGUCUUUUGGCAAUGCAUGCGCUCGAAACCUGGGGAGGAACCAACUGUACCAUUUACUUACCUGCAGCUGGAUCCUCCGAAGAGGGUAGAGGCCAAGCUAGAGUAA